GACGUAGGGCGCGAGCGUUGUCCGGAUUUAUUGGGCGUAAAGAGCUCGUAGGCGGCUUGUCGCGUCGACUGUGAAAACCCAUGGCUCAACCAUGUGGUCUGCAGUCGAUACGGGCAGGCUAGAAUUCGGUAGGGGAGACUGGAAUUCCUGGUGUAGCGGUGAAAUGCGCAGAUAUCAGGAGGAACACCGGUGGCGAAGGCGGGUCUCUGGGCCGAUAUUGACGCUGAGGAGCGAAAGCCAGGGGAGCAAACGGG
This 254-nucleotide ribosomal RNA is filed under the name uncultured bacterium. RNAcentral's name for it is "partial 16S ribosomal RNA". It matches the Rfam family "Bacterial small subunit ribosomal RNA", at positions 524 to 776 of the family's 1533-position model. The record is from RNAcentral.